RNAcentral lists this non-coding RNA (28 nucleotides) under Mus musculus (house mouse). Lineage: Eukaryota; Metazoa; Chordata; Mammalia; Rodentia; Muridae. The record is from RNAcentral.
UACUGAAGGCAUGCCGGAUCCUUGGCAC